AUUGAACGCUGGCGGCAUGCCUUACACAUGCAAGUCGAACGGCAGCGGACCUUCGGGUGCCGGCGAGUGGCGAACGGGUGAGUAAAGUAUCGGAACGUACCUUUCAGUGGGGGAUAACGUAGCGAAAGUUACGCUAAUACCGCAUAUUCUGUGAGCAGGAAAGCAGGGGACCUUCGGGCCUUGCGCUGAUAGAGCGGCCGAUAUCGGAUUAGCUAGUUGGUGGGGUAAAAGCUCACCAAGGCGACGAUCUGUAGCGGGUCUGAGAGGAUGAUCCGCCACACUGGAACUGAGACACGGUCCAGACUCCUACGGGAGGCAGCAGUGGGGAAUUUUGGACAAUGGGGGCAACCCUGAUCCAGCCAUGCCGCGUGAGUGAAGAAGGCCUUCGGGUUGUAAAGCUCUUUCGGCCGGGAAGAAAUCGCAUAGGCUAAUACCCUGUGUGGAUGACGGUACCGGAAUAAGAAGCACCGGCUAACUACGUGCCAGCAGCCGCCGUAA
This 498-nucleotide ribosomal RNA is filed under the name uncultured bacterium. RNAcentral's name for it is "partial 16S ribosomal RNA". It matches the Rfam family "Bacterial small subunit ribosomal RNA", at positions 30 to 523 of the family's 1533-position model. The record is from RNAcentral.